UACGGAGGGUGCGAGCGUUAUCCGGAUUUAUUGGGUUUAAAGGGUGCGUAGGUGGUUUGAUAAGUCAGCGGUGAAAGUUUGCAGCUUAACUGUAAAAAUGCCGUUGAAACUGUCGGACUUGAGUGUAAAUGAGGUAGGCGGAAUGCGUGGUGUAGCGGUGAAAUGCAUAGAUAUCACGCAGAACUCCGAUUGCGAAGGCAGCUUACUAAGCUACAACUGACACUGAAGCACGAAAGCGUGGGGAUCAAACAGGAUUAGAUACCCU
This 265-nucleotide ribosomal RNA is filed under the name uncultured prokaryote. RNAcentral describes it as "partial 16S ribosomal RNA". It matches the Rfam family "Bacterial small subunit ribosomal RNA", at positions 524 to 788 of the family's 1533-position model. The record is from RNAcentral.